UUUAUAUAGUUUAAAUAAAACAUUACAUUUUCAUUGUGAAAUUGAAAUUUACCUUUCUAUAAAUUU
This 66-nucleotide transfer RNA is filed under the name Coleoptera sp. ACP-2013. RNAcentral describes it as "tRNA-Glu". Lineage: Eukaryota; Metazoa; Arthropoda; Insecta; Coleoptera. The record is from RNAcentral.